RNAcentral lists this ribosomal RNA (253 nucleotides) under uncultured bacterium. Its description in RNAcentral is "partial 16S ribosomal RNA". It matches the Rfam family "Bacterial small subunit ribosomal RNA", at positions 524 to 776 of the family's 1533-position model. The record is from RNAcentral.
UACAGAGGGUGCGAGCGUUAUUCGGAAUUACUGGGCGUAAAGCGCGCGCAGGCGGUGCUGUAAGACCGAUGUGAAAUCCCCGGGCUUAACCUGGGAACUGCAUUGGUGACUGCAGCGCUGGAGUAUGGCAGAGGGGGGUGGAAUUCCACGUGUAGCAGUGAAAUGCGUAGAGAUGUGGAGGAACACCGAUGGCGAAGGCAGCCCCCUGGGCCAAUACUGACGCUCAUGCACGAAAGCGUGGGGAGCAAACAGG